Molecule: non-coding RNA, 643 nt
Organism: Misgurnus anguillicaudatus (oriental weatherfish)
Lineage: Eukaryota; Metazoa; Chordata; Actinopteri; Cypriniformes; Cobitidae
Source: RefSeq, a predicted model, not a curated record
UGGCAAGAAACUCACAUGACCUGCUGCCAACUUUAAUAAAAAUAUAUUAUCUUCUCAUACAUCGUUUUGCUAUUGAUAUCAUAUUAAAUAGCAAUCAAAUUGAUUACUAUUUUGAAAAUGUAUAAAUGAAGAUUCAUAUUGUCUUGAGUGCUGUUUUUAAUAUAAAAAGAAUGUUGAGUUUUCAGAGUCUUUAUUGUCAUUUUUUUGUGAUAGGACCCUACCAGACUAUAUUUGAAUACGGCAUACCCAUGAAUUCUGGAACUGUUAUUUCUUAACCCAGUUUGGAGGAUAAGAGCUUACCAACUAGUUAUAAAUAUGCUGAGGUGAUGUAUUGCAAAAUAGCCAACAUACAACAAUUAAAGGAUAAUUGCAGACUAUAUCCUGAUGAAGAUAUGGAUGACCCUCUGUCUGGUCAACAGGAGUUUAAAUAUGGAUGGGACAGUGAUGUGGCAGCUCUUCCCUGGCUCAUUCACUUCUUGCCUUCAUUUGUGAAAGGAAGAAAGACUGGAGAGGGUCAAUGUGCAACUGAAGCUACUGAUUGUGCUGUGUGAUGAGCAUCAAUCCAUGCUUUGAGGGGGAUGAAUCAGCACAGCCCUGCCUGCUCUGCGUUGGGAACAGAAGUUGCAUCCAGAAUUUUUGCAUC